Herpailurus yagouaroundi (jaguarundi) is the source of this 472-nucleotide long non-coding RNA. RefSeq lists it as uncharacterized. The transcript has 2 exons. The record is from RefSeq and is a predicted model, not a curated record. Lineage: Eukaryota; Metazoa; Chordata; Mammalia; Carnivora; Felidae.
UGUCUGUCCAUUUCUGAUGGAGGGGAGUUGAAGUCUCUAACUAUGACAGUGGAUUCAUCUAUUUCUCCUUGCAGUUCUGUCAGUUUCUGCCUCACAUCGUUUGACUCUCUGUUGUCAGGAUGACCUUGGGCUUAUUUGGCUAAGAGAAUGCAGCAGACAAGACAGCAUGCCAGUUCCAAGCCUAGGCCUCAUGAGGCCUUGAAUUCUUCUCCUUUUCUCUCUUGGGUCUUUAUCCGCCACCACGUGAACAAGCUGAGGCCAACCUGUUGGUUGGAGAAAGAGAGACCACACUGAAGAGAGCUGAGCUGUCUUCUGAGGGCAUCCUGUACCAACCAGACCCAGCUAACCCAGCACGAACUGCUGACAACGACUGAGGCCAGAGGAAAUCAAAACUGCCUACCUGAGUCCAGACCACCUGCCAGUCUGAAGAACUGUGAGCCAAGUCAUUGUUUUAACAGCAAAAGUUAUCAGA